RNAcentral lists this transfer RNA (81 nucleotides) under Fidelibacterota bacterium. RNAcentral's name for it is "tRNA-Leu". It matches the Rfam family "tRNA". From Rfam's summary of the family: Transfer RNA (tRNA) molecules are approximately 80 nucleotides in length. Their secondary structure includes four short double-helical elements and three loops (D, anti-codon, and T loops). Lineage: Bacteria; Pseudomonadati; Fidelibacterota. The record is from RNAcentral.
GCCGCGAUGGUGGAAUUGGUAGACACGCUGGUCUUAGGAACCAGUGCUUAUGGCGUGGGGGUUCGACUCCCUCUCGCGGCA